GGCUUAGAGUUUGAUCAUGGCUCAGGAUGAACGCUGGCGGCGUGCUUAAUACAUGCAAGUCGAACGAGGCACCUCUCCCGUUGAUUGACCCAGCUUGCUGGAGAUUGAAACACCUGAGGUGACUGAGUGGCGGACGGGUGAGUAACGCGUGGGUAACCUGCCUUGUACAGGGGGAUAACAGUUGGAAACGACUGCUAAUACCGCAUAAGCGCACAGUACCGCAUGGUACAGUGUGAAAAACUCCGGUGGUACGAGAUGGACCCGCGUCUGAUUAGCUUGUUGGUGGGGUAACGGCCUACCAAGGCAACGAUCAGUAGCCGACUUGAGAGAGUGAUCGGCCACAUUGGGACUGAGACACGGCCCAAACUCCUACGGGAGGCAGCAGUAGGGAAUAUUGCACAAUGGGGGAAACCCUGAUGCAGCGACGCCGCGUGAAGGAAGAAGUGUUUCGGUAUGUAAACUUCUAUCAGCAAGGAAGAAAAUGACGGUACUUGACUAAGAAGCCCCGGCUAAAUACGUGCCAGCAGCCGCGGUAAUACGUAUGGGGCAAGCGUUAUCCGGAAUUACUGGGUGUAAAGGGAGCGUAGGCGGUACGGCAAGUCAGAAGUGAAAGCCUGGGGCUCAACCCCGGAAUUGCUUUUGAAACUGUCGGACUAGAGUGUCGGAGGGGUAAGCG
Molecule: ribosomal RNA, 676 nt
Filed under: uncultured organism
Description: bacterial SSU rRNA
Rfam family: Bacterial small subunit ribosomal RNA
Source: RNAcentral